RNAcentral lists this signal recognition particle RNA (269 nucleotides) under Chthonomonadales bacterium. Its description in RNAcentral is "signal recognition particle sRNA large type". It matches the Rfam family "Bacterial large signal recognition particle RNA". From Rfam's summary of the family: The signal recognition particle (SRP) is a universally conserved ribonucleoprotein involved in the co-translational targeting of proteins to membranes. Archaeal SRP consists of a 7S RNA and homologues of the eukaryotic SRP19 and SRP54 proteins. In most bacteria, the SRP consists of a 4.5S RNA and the Ffh protein (a homologue of the eukaryotic SRP54 protein). The record is from RNAcentral. Lineage: Bacteria; Bacillati; Armatimonadota; Chthonomonadia; Chthonomonadales.
UCGUGCUAGGCGGGGAGUCUGCGGUUCCCUGUACCCGAAAUCCGCAAUACGCGGGGCUGAAUUCCCUGCUCCCGGGGCGCCCGCACGCCGGUUCAACAACCGUCGGCGGUGCUGAUGGCCGGGCUCCGCGCAUCGGCAGGCGCCCGAAUCGUGUCAGGGCCGGAAGGCAGCAGCACUAAGAGCGACCUCCCGAGUGCCGCGUGACCACCUGACCGGAGUCGUCGGCGACUGCUCCUGGCGAGGCGGCGUCACAAAAGCGGGGUGCACGA